RNAcentral lists this ribosomal RNA (349 nucleotides) under uncultured bacterium. Its description in RNAcentral is "partial 16S ribosomal RNA". It matches the Rfam family "Bacterial small subunit ribosomal RNA", at positions 338 to 684 of the family's 1533-position model. The record is from RNAcentral.
CCUACGGGAGGCAGCAGUGAGGAAUAUUGGUCAAUGGGCGCUAGCCUGAACCAGCCAAGUAGCGUGAAGGAUGACUGCCCUAUGGGUUGUAAACUUCUUUUAUAGGGGAGUAAAGUGCAGUAUGUAUACUGCUUUGCCUGUACCUAAUGAAUAAGGAUCGGCUAACUCCGUGCCAGCAGCCGCGGUAAUACGGAGGAUCCGAGCGUUUGCCGGAUUUAUUGGGGUUAAAGGGAGCGUAGGGGGGGUGCUAAGUCAGUUGUGAAAGUUGGCGGCUCAACCGUGAAAUUGCAGUGGAUACUGGCAUCCUGGAGUACAGUAGAGGUGGGGGGAAUUCGUGGUGUAGCGGUGA